Molecule: ribosomal RNA, 494 nt
Filed under: uncultured bacterium
Lineage: Bacteria
Description: partial 16S ribosomal RNA
Rfam family: Bacterial small subunit ribosomal RNA
Source: RNAcentral
GACGAACGCUGGCGGCGUGCUUAACACAUGCAAGUCGAACGGAAAGGCCUGCUUUCCCUUGUGGAUUGCGGGUACUCGCGUGGCGAACGGGUGAGUAACACGUGAGUGAUCUGCCCCCAACUUGGGUAUAAGCCUGGGAUACUGGGUCUAAUUCCCGAUAGGACUGCAGGGUGGUGCCUGUGGUGGAAUACGAUUUUCUCGUGGUUGGGGAUGAGCUGGCGGCCUAUCAGCUUGUUGGUGGGGCAAUGGCCUACCAAGGCGGCGACGGGUAGCCGGAGUGGGAGGGGGGACGGCGACAUUGAGACUGGGAUACGGCCCAGACGCGAAGGGGAGGCAGGAGUUGGGAAUAAUGGAGAAAGGGCGGAAGCCAGAUGCGGCGAGGCUGCGAGGGAGAUGUCGGGCUUCGGGUUGUAAACUCCUUUCGAGGGAGAGGAGGCCACCUGGUUGGAAGGGUGGUGACGGUAGUGGUAGAAGAAGCACCGGCUAACUACGUG